This is a non-coding RNA of Felis catus (domestic cat), 92 nucleotides long. The record is from Rfam. Lineage: Eukaryota; Metazoa; Chordata; Mammalia; Carnivora; Felidae.
GCCUGGGUGGCUCAGUCGGUUGAGCGUCCAACUCUUGGUUUUGGCUCAGGUCAUGAUCUCAAGGUUUGUGGGUUUGAGUCCCACAUUGGGCU